RNAcentral lists this ribosomal RNA (253 nucleotides) under uncultured bacterium. Its description in RNAcentral is "partial 16S ribosomal RNA". It matches the Rfam family "Bacterial small subunit ribosomal RNA", at positions 524 to 776 of the family's 1533-position model. The record is from RNAcentral.
UACGUAGGGCGCAAGCGUUGUCCGGAAUUAUUGGGCGUAAAGAGCUCGUAGGUGGCUUGUCGCGUCUGCCGUGAAAGCCCGUGGCUUAACUACGGGUCUGCGGUGGAUACGGGCAGGCUAGAGGCUGGUAGGGGCAAGCGGAAUUCCUGGUGUAGCGGUGAGAUGCGCAGAUAUCAGGAGGAACACCGGUGGCGAAGGCGGCUUGCUGGGCCAGUUCUGACGCUGAGGAGCGAAAGCGUGGGGAGCGAACAGG